Molecule: non-coding RNA, 101 nt
Organism: Acanthosepion pharaonis
Lineage: Eukaryota; Metazoa; Mollusca; Cephalopoda; Sepiida; Sepiidae
Source: the annotation of a GenBank genome assembly
AUAUCACGUUGAAAGACCGGUUCUCCUAUGAUCACCGAAGUUAAGCAACAUUGAGGCUGAUCAGUAUGUAGAUGGGUGACUGCUUGAGAAUACCAGGUGCU